This 410-nucleotide ribosomal RNA is filed under the name uncultured Jatrophihabitans sp. Its description in RNAcentral is "bacterial SSU rRNA". It matches the Rfam family "Bacterial small subunit ribosomal RNA", at positions 354 to 776 of the family's 1533-position model. Lineage: Bacteria; Bacillati; Actinomycetota; Actinomycetes; Jatrophihabitantales; Jatrophihabitantaceae. The record is from RNAcentral.
GUGGGGAAUCUUGCACAAUGGGCGAAAGCCUGAUGCAGCGACGCCGCGUGAGGGAUGACGGCCUUCGGGUUGUAAACCUCUUUCAGCAGGGACGAAGCGAAAGUGACGGUACCUGCAGAAGAAGGACCGGCCAACUACGUGCCAGCAGCCGCGGUAAUACGUAGGGUCCAAGCGUUGUCCGGAAUUAUUGGGCGUAAAGAGCUCGUAGGCGGCCUGUCGCGUCGGCUGUGAAACCCUGGGGCUCAACCCCGGGCCUGCAGCCGAUACGGGCAGGCUAGAAUUCGGUAGGGGAGACUGGAACUCCUGGUGUAGCGGUGAAAUGCGCAGAUAUCAGGAAGAACACCGGUGGCGAAGGCGGGUCUCUGGGCCGAUAUUGACGCUGAGGAGCGAAAGCGUGGGGAGCGAACAGG